RNAcentral lists this ribosomal RNA (433 nucleotides) under uncultured bacterium. Its description in RNAcentral is "partial 16S ribosomal RNA". It matches the Rfam family "Bacterial small subunit ribosomal RNA", at positions 29 to 507 of the family's 1533-position model. The record is from RNAcentral.
AACGAACGCUGGCGGCAUGCCUAACACAUGCAAGUCGAACGAGACCUUCGGGUCUAGUGGCGCACGGGUGCGUAACGCGUGGGAACCUGCCCUUAGGUUCGGAAUAACUCCCCGAAAGGGGUGCUAAUACCGGAUAAUGUCUUCGGACCAAAGAUUUAUCGCCUUUGGAUGGGCCCGCGUUGGAUUAGCUAGUUGGUAGGGUAAAAGCCUACCAAGGCGACGAUCCAUAGCUGGUCUGAGAGGAUGAUCAGCCACACUGGGACUGAGACACGGCCCAGACUCCUACGGGAGGAAGCAGUGGGGAAUAUUGGACAAUGGGCGAAAGCCUGAUCAAGCAAUGCCGGGUGAGUGAUGAGGGCCUUAGGGUUGUAAAGCUCUUUUACCCGGGAUGAUAAUGACAGUACCGGGAGAAUAAGCUCCGGCUAACUCCGUG